UGAGAAUCAGCUGACCACACGCGCUACAUAACGUAGAGCAAGUCACUAGUAAUUGCACGUAUAAUGAAAUGUCACUAAGUGUGAACUCGCUAAAGAACGUUUUUGCAAUGCUGAUCUUUUUGGAAUAUUAUAAAAAGCACUCUCACCGUUAGACUUCGAGUUAGUUGUGUAUUGUUUGUUGUGUGUUAGCUUUAGCUUAGCAUAGAACAGUGGGCUUCACUUUGUUUACACUGCUCCAUUAGGUAUAUAGAGUUCACUGCUGCCCUGGGGAUUAGCAGCAUGGAUCCAUUGGGCGCUCGCUCACAGUUUGUGUGCGUGGACACACUUCCCACCUGGGAUCAGCUCGAAGAGACUAUCGAUGGCAAGGAGGAAGGGGAGUCUUAUCAGAGGGAAGAGGCUGAAGAGCUGACUGACGUAAACUCUCCUGUUUCUCCAUUUCCAUUCAGAGAGGAUAUCAACAGGAAGAUUAUUCUCUUCAACGGUGAUGUGGCACUUUUAAACUGCACCGCUAUUGUGAAUACAAGCAACGAGACCCUUACAGACAAGAACCCAAUCUCAGACAGCAUUCACAGACACGCUGGCCCCGAGCUCAGGGAGGAACUUUUCAAACUAAAAGGAUGUCGGACGGGGGAGGCCAAAAUGACAGAGGGCUUCAACUUGGCUGCACGAUUUGUUUUACAUACAGUUGGCCCCAAAUAUAAACAAAAGUAUCGCACAGCUGCUGAGAGCUCCUUAUACAGCUGCUAUAGAAAUGUCAUGCAACUGGCCAAAGAGCAUGGCAUGUCUUCUGUGGGUCUUUGUGUGGUCAGUACAGGCAAGAGAGGAUAUCCCAUCGCAGAUGCUACUCAUAUAACCUUACGGACUGUGCGCAGGUUUCUGGAGUAUCAUGGAGAAAGCUUAGAGGCUGUGGUCUUUGCUGUGUCUGACAACGAGGAGGCAGUGUACAGGAAGUUACUGCCACUUUAUUAUCCACGCUCAAAGGAGGAGGAGAGAGCCAGUCUGCCUUUACUGCCUGCCGACAUCGGGAAUGCUGAGGGGGAACCUGUGGUGCUUGAGAGGCAGAUCCGCAUUACUGAGAAGCCUGGCAGCCUGGAAGAUGGCUCUGAGCAUGAUUCUGAAGACUCUGACCUGGUACUUGUUGGCAAUCAUGCUUUUGCAAAAAUGGAGGGAGAUGUAGACAAGCAGCGAAAACUCAUUCUUCAGGGUCAGCUCUCUGAAGCUUCCCAACAGAAACAGCACCAGAGGAACUAUAACCGCUGGCUGUGCAGAGCACGAGCAGAGGACCUCUCGGACAUAGCAGCACUAAAGGCCUUAUACCAAACAGGUGUUGACAGGUGUGGCAGAACCGUAAUGGUGGUUGUAGGCAGAAAUAUUCCUGUAACUCUCAUUGACGUGGAGAAGGCUUUGUUAUAUUUUAUCCACGUGAUGGAUCACAUCGCAGUAAAGGAAUACGUGAUGGUGUAUUUCCACACACUCACCGGUGAACAUAAUCACCUCGACACCGACUUCCUCAAGAGGCUCUAUGACAUUGUUGAUGUGAAGUUUAAAAAAAAUCUGAAGGCUUUCUACUUUGUUCAUCCAUCAUUUCGUUCCAAGGUGUCCACAUGGUUCUUCACUACCUUCAGUGUUCCUGGAGUGAAGGAGAAGGUCCAUCACAUAGAGACCCUGCAGCAGCUCUUCACUUGCAUCUUACCUGAACAGAUAGACAUCCCUCCCUUUGUUCUGGAGUAUGACACUAGGAUGAACGGCUCAUGGAGAUGAAAUUCCCGCUCACCACGCCUAUAAAGCAAACCCUCUAGGUGGAUUUAACUGGACUUUCUUUGAAUGCCCAGCAUUUGCUUGAGCUCACAGAGUAUGGGUGUGUUGCCAUAAAGAAGUCUGUCCCUCUCAUCAAUCUAGAAACGGAGACCAACUCAGUUGCCUUUCUUUGACGUUUGACAUAGUUGCUGUGCUCAAACUAUUUGCACUAGUAAUAUUUCACUGACUGACUGAUGCAUGUGAUUGUGUAACAGAAAAGCAGAAAGGUAAAUUGUUAAAUGCCUUCAGAUGUCCUGUUUCCCAGCAGCAUACGAAACCUCUCUACGUUUGUGUUUGGUGUGCACAAAUCCUUCACGACUAACACUUGCUUUCAUUCUUAUUUCACACUAUCUGGUUACUGCUAGUGGUAUCUGGUAAACUACCUUCAUGAGCUGCUUUUGUUUUGUUUUUUUUUAUUUUAAAUGUGAUUACAUAUAAAUUGCCAUGACUGGACCGUAGCCAAAUGAACUUGAAAUGAUGUUAAUUAAAGUGAUUGUUCUUUAAAUAUUUCAAUGAAAUAUUUUUAUGUUCUCUUUCUUGCACACUAACAGACAGUCAGGCUUUUAGUAUUGUCCCUUUCUACUUCAGGUUUUCUUUUUAAGCCAGCAUUUUUUUUUUUUUAUUGAUUUGAUCCUUUGUUUUGGAUUAUUAUUAAAUAUUUUAGUCCUAAUAGGUCUUACUGACUUGGGUACAAAAACACAAGUAAGCUCCCUUGCUCUAGUCUUUCUUAUGCGAAAGAAAAACAAGAAUUUCACUGACAGUGUUGACAGCAGUGUGAAUUUGAGCACCUGUGCUGAGCGAUAAAAUUUGCUUUAACAAAUUUAGGUCCUGAACAUUUUGUAGUGCCGUCCUAAAGGAGUUGUAUCGGUAUCUGUAUCAGUCACCUACGUCAGUAUCUGAGUUAAAUGUGUUGUUUUUUUUUCUUUAUUUAUUUCCUCACACAAACACAAUGAAGAUCUGGUGAGAAACAGGUGUCUGCAAGAUGCAACCCAUCGAAAAGAAAAGAGACGAGCCUGUGACUGUGGAGUUCAGAUUUCUGCACACUUUAUCAUUAGACAGAAAGGUGCAUAUACAUUAUUUGGUAAACUGUACAAGCCAAAUAAGGUUAGGUGUAUUAGCAGGUGUCUAGUGGCUCGUUCGGUCACUCGGGCAGAGUCACAGUUUCCAUUACUGGUUCCAAAGAAACACGUUCCACUGUGCAGGAAGCCCACAGCUCUGACCUUUAUUAAAACCAAUAUGGGCCUUGUUGAUCUCCUCCUCUCAAUAUCACACUGUAAUGCUGUAUCAAAAAUCAUAUCAUUCAUCCUCCUGAUAUUGUUUUAAUCUUGGUUUAUUUAUUAAUAAACAGUAGAGUAGAAAAGACUAAUGUGUUAUGACUGUAUGGGCUGGUGAACUGAGAUUCUGCUCCGUGUGUGUGCUGACUAAAAUGAAUCGAUCCUUCACAGCCUUCAAUGUGUUUGUGAGUGGGAUUAGCAGCCAUGAGAAGCUUUAGUGAACUCGGGGACACCUGGACAGAAUUAAUUCCUCUUUUUUGUGAAUCGGAGCCGGCAUCAAAAUCCUGAACAAAACAAAAUUAGCACGGAGUGGCGUGUUUCACAUCAUGUGGAAAACUUAGAACAUGUGGCCUGUAUGCUUUUACAUCAGCACUGUCCUCCAGUAACCUCUCAAAUGUGAAGUAAAGGACUGAGAUUAAAGAGAGAAAACCUGGCAACUUCUGAUCCUGCUGCAAAUACAGAUGAGACAGAAGAGUCAAUCAACAUACUGUGUUCUGUAUCUUCUGGUGAUUAGUAGCAGAGAUGCAGAGAUGAUGGUUACUGAAUCACCUGAAUGUGUAUUUAAUGUGGAAAGUUUAUUCUAUGUAUAAUAAUUCAAACAUUAUGAUUAAAAUCAGUUUUUGUGUGUGGCA
Tachysurus vachellii is the source of this 3703-nucleotide RNA transcript. It is a transcript of the gene named ganglioside induced differentiation associated protein 2, with no coding region annotated. NCBI's taxonomy places the organism in Eukaryota, Metazoa, Chordata, Actinopteri, Siluriformes, Bagridae. The record is from RefSeq and is a predicted model, not a curated record. The transcript is spliced from 15 exons.